GACGAACGCUGGCGGCGUGCCUAAUACAUGCAAGUAGAACGCACAGUUUAUACCUUAGCUUGCUACACCAUAGACUGUGAGUUGCGAACGGGUGAGUAACGCGUAGGUAACCUGCCUGGUAGCGGGGGAUAACUAUUGGAAACGACAGCUAAUACCGUAUAAUAUUAAUUAUUGCAGGAAAAUUAUUCGAAAGGUGAAAUUGUACCACUCUCAGAGGGACCUGCGUUGUAUUUGCUAGUAGGUGAGGUAAAGGCUCAGCUAGGCGACGAUACAUAGCCGACCUGAGAGGAUGAUCGGCCACACUGGGACUGAGACACGGCCCAGACUCCUACGGGAGGCAGCAGUAGGGAAUCUUCGGCAAUGGACGAAAGUCUGACCGAGCAACGCCGCGUGAGUGAAGAAGGUUUUCGGAUCGUAAAGCUCUGUUGUAAGAGAAGAACGGGUGUGAGAGUGGAAAGUUCACACUGUGACGGUAUCUUACCAGAAAGGGACGGCUAACUACGUG
RNAcentral lists this ribosomal RNA (505 nucleotides) under uncultured bacterium. Its description in RNAcentral is "partial 16S ribosomal RNA". It matches the Rfam family "Bacterial small subunit ribosomal RNA", at positions 28 to 507 of the family's 1533-position model. The record is from RNAcentral.